RNAcentral lists this long non-coding RNA (212 nucleotides) under Coffea arabica (coffee). RNAcentral's name for it is "long non-coding RNA (CARA_LNC001791)". The record is from RNAcentral. Lineage: Eukaryota; Viridiplantae; Streptophyta; Magnoliopsida; Gentianales; Rubiaceae.
AUGACCAUACUUCGGGUUUCGUUACUGAUGGACCUUCUCAAUUGCAUGGUGCUGCCUAGACAAGUGCCUCACCUUGCUCUUCAGCAUCAUUAAUAUUUUUGCCGGCCCUAGGCGUGCCUUCAAAUGCUGAAUGGAAUGGGUAUCAGAUAGUUUGUUUCUGACAUUACUUCUCAAUUUUACACUGCAUUUGUCUGCAUGAUGGCAUUUAUUGU